GCUUGGUAUUGGGCAUCACUAUUCGGGUGUGCUCCAAAUUAGUGGCGGNNCAUUUGNNCCAGCGUAGUAAACUCCUCGCUGUGGGAUUCAUAAUGUGCCCUCUGCCAACAACUAAAUUCUCAAGUUUGACCUCGGAUCAGGUAGGGAUACCCGCUGAACUUAAGCAUAUCAAUAAGCGGAGGAAAAGAAACCAACAGGGAUUGCCUCAGUAACGGCGAGUGAAGCGGCAGCAGCUCAAAUUUGAAAUCUGGCCUAUGGUCCGAAUUGUAAUUUGUAGAGGAUGCUUCGAACGAAGUCUAGUCUAAGUUUCUUGGAAUAGGACGUCAUAGAGGGUGAGAACCCCGUAUGCGACUAGGCCCUUCAGUUCGUAUGAAGCUCCUUCAACGAGCCGAGUUGUUUGGGAAUGCAGCUCUAAAUGGGUGGUAAAUUUCAUCUAAAGCUAAAUACUGGCCAGAGACCGAUAGCGCACAAGUAGAGUGAUCGAAAGAUGAAAAGCACUUUGGAAAGAGAGUUAAACAGUACGUGAAAUUGUUGAAAGGGAAGCGCUUGCAACCAGACUUGUAUCUAGUUGAUCAUCCGACGUUCUCACCGGUGUACUCAACUAAAUUCAGGCUAGCAUCGGUUUUGGUGGCUAGAUAAAGACCUUAGGAAUGUAGCUCCUCUCGGGGAGUGUUAUAGCCUGAAGUGUAAUAUAGCCUACCAGGACCGAGGACCGCGCUUCGGCUAGGAUGCUAGCAUAAUGGUUGUAAGCGACC
This 755-nucleotide ribosomal RNA is filed under the name uncultured fungus. RNAcentral describes it as "eukaryotic LSU rRNA". The stretch from base 127 to 755 matches the Rfam family "Eukaryotic large subunit ribosomal RNA", at positions 1 to 649 of the family's 3401-position model. Lineage: Eukaryota; Fungi. The record is from RNAcentral.